CCUACGGGUGGCAGCAGUGGGGAAUAUUGCACAAUGGGGGAAACCCUGAUGCAGCGACGCCGCGUGAGUGAAGAAGUAAUUCGUUACGUAAAGCUCUAUCAGCAGGGAAGAAAAUGACGGUACCUGAGUAAGAAGCCCCGGCUAACGACGUGCCAGCAGCCGCGGUAAUACGUAGGGGGCAAGCGUUAUCCGGAUUUACUGGGUGUAAAGGGAGCGUAGACGGUGCGCCAAGUCGGGAGGGAAAUGCCGCCGCUUAACUGCGGAACUGCUUUGGAAACUGGCGAACUAGAGUGCGGGAGGGGUCAGCGUACUUCCUCGUGUAGCGGUUCCAUGCGUCGAUAUUAG
RNAcentral lists this ribosomal RNA (345 nucleotides) under uncultured bacterium. RNAcentral describes it as "partial 16S ribosomal RNA". It matches the Rfam family "Bacterial small subunit ribosomal RNA", at positions 338 to 700 of the family's 1533-position model. The record is from RNAcentral.